RNAcentral lists this ribosomal RNA (492 nucleotides) under uncultured bacterium. RNAcentral's name for it is "partial 16S ribosomal RNA". It matches the Rfam family "Bacterial small subunit ribosomal RNA", at positions 29 to 507 of the family's 1533-position model. The record is from RNAcentral.
AGUGAACGCUGGCGGUAGGCCUAACACAUGCAAGUCGAACGGCAGCACAGUAAGAGCUUGCUCUUACGGGUGGCGAGUGGCGGACGGGUGAGGAAUACAUCGGAAUCUACUUUUUCGUGGGGGAUAACGUAGGGAAACUUACGCUAAUACCGCAUACGACCUACGGGGGAAAGCAGGGGAUCUUCGGACCUUGCGCGAUUGAAUGAGCCGCUGUCGGAUUAGCUAGUUGGCGGGGUAAAGGCCCACCAAGGCGACGAUCCGUAGCUGGUCUGAGAGGAUGAUCAGCCACACUGGAACUGAGACACGGUCCAGACUCCUACGGGAGGCAGCAGUCGGGAAUAUUGGACAAUGGGCGCAAGCCUGAUCCAGCCAUACCGCGUGUGUGAAGAAGGCCUUCGGGUUGUAAAGCCCUUUUGUUGGGAAAGAAAAGCAGCAGGUUAAUACCCCGCUGUUCUGACGGUACCCAAUGAAUAAGCACCGGCUAACUUCGUG